UUCUGUAACUACAUCAUCCCCUCUUUACUCUCCCUUUUGUAAAAUAUCUUCAUAUAAUAUCACCUCUGUACU
Molecule: non-coding RNA, 72 nt
Organism: Pangasianodon gigas (Mekong giant catfish)
Lineage: Eukaryota; Metazoa; Chordata; Actinopteri; Siluriformes; Pangasiidae
Source: the annotation of a GenBank genome assembly